GACGAACGCUGGCGGCGUGCUUAACACAUGCAAGUCGAACGGAAAGGCCCUGGUUUUGUGGGGUGCUCGAGUGGCGAACGGGUGAGUAACACGUGAGUAACCUGCCCGUGACUUUGGGAUAACUUCAGGAAACUGGGGCUAAUCCCGGAUAGGAGCUCCGGCUGCAUGGUGGGGGUUGGAGAGUUUCGGCGGUUGGGGUUGGACUCGCGGCUUAUCAGCUUGUGGGGGGGGAAGUGGCUCACCAAGGCUUUGACGGGUAGCCGGCCUGAGGGGGUGGACGGCGCCCAUGCGCCUGAGAUAGGGCCCAGACUCCUACGGGAGGCAGCGGUGGGGAGUAUUGCACAAUGGGCGGAAGCCUGAUGCGGCAACGCCGGGUGCGUGAUGACGGCCUUCGGGUUGUAAACCGCUUUCGCCUGUGACGAAGCGUGGGUGACGGUACUGGGUAAAGAAGCACCGGCUAACUACGUG
RNAcentral lists this ribosomal RNA (468 nucleotides) under uncultured bacterium. RNAcentral describes it as "partial 16S ribosomal RNA". It matches the Rfam family "Bacterial small subunit ribosomal RNA", at positions 28 to 507 of the family's 1533-position model. The record is from RNAcentral.